Molecule: ribosomal RNA, 537 nt
Filed under: Ophiostoma cf. floccosum
Lineage: Eukaryota; Fungi; Ascomycota; Sordariomycetes; Ophiostomatales; Ophiostomataceae
Description: LSU rRNA
Rfam family: Eukaryotic large subunit ribosomal RNA
Source: RNAcentral
CAAUAAGCGGAGGAAAAGAAACCAACAGGGAUUGCCCCAGUAACGGCGAGUGAAGCGGCAACAGCUCAAAUUUGAAAUCUGGCCUUCGGGUCCGAGUUGUAAUUUGGAGAGGAUGUUUCUGGCAAGGCGCCGUCCGAGUUCCUUGGAACAGGACGCCAUAGAGGGUGAGAGCCCCGUACCGGCGGAUGCCUAGCCUUUGUGAAACUCCUUCGACGAGUCGAGUAGUUUGGGAAUGCUGCUCAAAAUGGGAGGUAAAUUUCUUCUAAAGCUAAAUAUUGGCCAGAGACCGAUAGCGCACAAGUAGAGUGAUCGAAAGAUGAAAAGCACUUUGAAAAGAGGGUUAAAAAGUACGUGAAAUUGUUGAAAGGGAAGCGCCUAUGACCAGACUUGCGGCCUACGGACCAUCCGGCGUUCUCGCCGGUGCACUCCGUGGGUUGCAGGCCAGCAUCGGUUUUCCUAGGGGGAUAAAGGCCGCAGGAACGUAGCUCUUUCGGGAGUGUUAUAGCCUGCGGUGUCAUGCCUCUGGGGAGACCGAGG